This is an RNA transcript of Chenopodium quinoa (quinoa), 2150 nucleotides long. It is a transcript of the gene named SAC3 family protein C-like, with no coding region annotated. Lineage: Eukaryota; Viridiplantae; Streptophyta; Magnoliopsida; Caryophyllales; Amaranthaceae. The transcript has 10 exons. The record is from RefSeq and is a predicted model, not a curated record.
GGAAGUGAAGAGAGGGGGCGUCGGAGCAGUUGGCGGCCGGUCGUCGACGGGCGGUGGUCGAAGGGAGGCGCUGGUGGGAGGGGGAUUUGGGUUGCAUGAGAGAGAGAUUGAGUGAGGGAGAGAUUGGGUGAGACCUGAGAGGAAUGAAAUGGGGGAGUUUGAGUAAGAGAGGAAGUUGCCUCUGUUUUACAGCAACGAAAGAAACGCUGACUGAGGCAGCGUUUCAUUAAACACAUAAAACGCUUCAGCCAGCGUUUUACUACAUUUGAAUUUUUUUUUUUAAGGAAAUCAAAAAUUAAGAAAAUCAAAAAAAAAAAAAGUCAACCAGUAAAAACGCUGUCCGAAAACAGCGUUUUACUCCAAAAGCUUAGUUUGGUAAAACGAGUACACUAUACAAAAUAUUUUGUUAACAAAGUUUUAGUUUGGAAAAAAAGUCCUAAAGAGUUACAAUGAACAGAAAUCAUUAUCCCUCCCAAAAUCCUGCAACUUCAUCUUCUCGUUCUUCUUCAUCAUCUUCAUACUCUAAUUCUAAUUCCAGACAUCACUACAAUGUCACCCGAACUUCGGGCCCAAAACCCAAUUGGAAUCGCAUCUCUAACAGACCCCAAAGAGUUCCAUUGGAAGAAGAUACUGAUUAUACCACUGCUCACUGUAUUGUUGGAACUUGCCCUUUUAUGUGCCCAGAAAAGGAGAGAAUCCAGCGUGAGCAGCUUCGAGAUCUAGCUGUAUUUGAAAGAUUGAAUGGAAAUCAGUCGAAAUCGUCCUCAAUCCUCGCUGUUAAAAAGUUUUGCAGAACUAUCUCAAUGAAGGAAGUUCAAGCAUCAGAUAUACGCCCUCUGCCGGUUUUGGAGGACACAUUAGAUUACCUUAUGAAGUUGGAUUCAUCUGAACAUUCUUUUCUCGUUCUUCAUGAUUUCAUCUCUGAUAGGACAAGGUCCAUUAGGCAAGAUCUCAGCAUGCAGAACAUCAACAAUGAUAAAGUGAUCUGCAUGUACGAGAAAAUGAUUAGGUUUCAUGUCACCUCCCACUACAAGCUUAGAAGAUGUGAGGGUGACAGCACCACUUUAUCUUCAAUCCAUCAUCUUAAUAUGGAGCAGCUCACAAAGUGCCUUGGAUCACUAUAUAACCUAUAUGAUAUCAACCGCACUUCAGAUUCUGUUUUUGACAAUGAGGCUGAAUAUCGAUCUUUAUAUGUCCUCCUUCAUCUUGAGACUCAUAGCCAUUCAACGGGCGAGUCUCUAUCUUUGUGGUUUUCUCGUCUAUCUUCAUAUAUUGUUAGCUCAAAGGAGAUGUGCUUUGCGCGAACAGUGUUAAGGUCUUUUCGGAUGGGCAAUUUUUGGCGUUUCUUUCACACUGUAGCAUCAGAGGCAACUAACCUACAGUUCUGCAUCAUUGAGCCUUACAUCAUGGAGGUUAGGGCACUUGCUGUAGCGUGUAUAAAUUCCAGUGGCUACAAGCUUCAUCCUUAUCCAUUAACGUCUCUUUCAAAAAUCCUGAUGAUUAAGGAAUCGGAUUUGGAAACCUUCUGCAAUGCUUGUGGCCUGCAGACUUCCCAAGAUGAUAUGGGGAAUAAGGUCUUACCCACCAAGCAAACUGGAUUUUCCCAUCCCAAGGGAGGAUUUCAGUGCAAUCUUUUCCCGUGGUUGGAGCUGCUGGAGAAAGCCUGUUUCAGCAGGAUUUAAACUGGGUUGCUGUGUAGACUGAGGAUGUAAAUCUAUACUGUUGCUGGCCACACAGGCAUAUUUGUCCCACAUCCAAUUUGCUUGUAGGAUGCAAGCGUUUCAAUUGAAAAGUGAUGUAAGAGAAAAGAGAAAAUGAGGCGGAGGAAGAAAGAAAGGAGGGAGAAAUUUUGGGCAACAUCCGCAAUAAGGAUGCUCUAAACCCAAUUACAUUACCAAAGAAACUCAUCUUGAUGGAAUAUUGGAUACUUUUUCAAAACUUUCAAAUUUGUAUUAAGUUAUUAUAGAAGGGAGGGACAAACAAUUCUUGUAGGGGAGGUUCAACAUAGUUGAGCUGGCAUUCAGUCUUCUAAUUUUUUCAUCUACUACGAAAGACCGGCAAAGUCCGAAUUUGUAAAAGACAUGUUAUUCUUUCUUUCUUAAUCGAAUGUUAUGGGGCAUUCAUAAAGGGAGGAUUUCUUUGGUUUGUUA